Lutra lutra (Eurasian river otter) is the source of this 417-nucleotide long non-coding RNA. RefSeq lists it as uncharacterized. The record is from RefSeq and is a predicted model, not a curated record. The transcript has 4 exons. Lineage: Eukaryota; Metazoa; Chordata; Mammalia; Carnivora; Mustelidae.
GGAUGCUCUCCCGGGGUUUAGAGAAGAUGCUACUGCCCACCACUAACGCUUAGCAGGAACAAGGAAGGAGGCCAGGAACCAAAGUGGGUCGGUCCACAUUACUAUCUCUUACUGGUCCCUGAUGGGUCUAAAAAUAGAUUAUAUUCCAAAGUUAAAAAUCUUGAAAUCAAUUAUGUCCCAAGGCUUCAGUUCAGCUUAACAUUUCAAUAGAAAAGAGCCUAGUACCUAGUGCCAGGUCUACUUUGACAAUUGGGCCACCAUUGUAAUCUUCACCAGAUUUCAUGAAUGAUGAGCCUCCCUGAUACUUAUCAGCCAAACAGAACAAAACUGAUUUCUCUUGGCCUUCAGAUUCUUCAUCAUCACUGUUGUCAGAAAAUUGGCAGUGGAGGACUUCAUCUUGUUCUUCUAUGUGACCCA